GAACUUAAGCAUAUCAAUAAGCGGAGGAAAAGAAACUAACAAGGAUUCCCCUAGUAACUGCGAGUGAAGCGGGAAAAGCUCAAAUUUAAAAUCUGACGGUCGUCUCCUGGCCGUUCGAGUUGUAAUCUAGAGAAGCGUCUUCCGCGCUGGACCGUGUACAAGUCUCUUGGAAUGGAGCGUCGUAGAGGGUGACAAUCCCGUCUUUGACACGGACUGCCAGGGCUUUUUGUGAUGCGCUCUCGAAGAGUCGAGUUGUUUGGGAAUGCAGCUCAAAAUGGGUGGUAAAUUCCAUCUAAAGCUAAAUAUGGGCGAGAGACCGAUAGCGAACAAGUACCGUGAGGGAAAGAUGAAAAGAACUUUGAAAAGAGAGUUAAACAGUACGUGAAAUUGUUGAAAGGGAAACGAUUCAAGUCAGUCGCGUCGUGCGGCAAUCAACCCUUGCAUUGAUUUGCUGGGCUUACUUUCUGCUUCGACGGGUCAGCAUCAAUUUUGACCAUCGAAAAAUGGCUUGGGGAACGUAGCAUCCUUCGGGAUGUGUUUACAGCCCUUUGUCCGCAUGCGAUGGUUGGGAUUGAGGAACUCAGCACGCCGCAAAGGUUGGGGUCUAUUGGCCUACAUUAACGUGCUUAGGAUGCUGGCGUAAUGGCUUGAACCGACCCGUCUUGAAACACGGACCAAGGAGUCUAACAUGCCUGCGAGUGUUUGGGUGGAAAACCCGAGCGCGAAGUGAAAGUGAAACCUGGUUGAGAUCCCUGUCGUGGGGAGCACCGACGCCCGGACCAGACCUUUUGUGACGGAUCCGCGGUAGAGCAUGUAUGUUGGGACCCGAAA
RNAcentral lists this ribosomal RNA (831 nucleotides) under uncultured fungus. RNAcentral describes it as "eukaryotic LSU rRNA". It matches the Rfam family "Eukaryotic large subunit ribosomal RNA", at positions 30 to 821 of the family's 3401-position model. The record is from RNAcentral. Lineage: Eukaryota; Fungi.